This 253-nucleotide unclassified non-coding RNA is filed under the name uncultured Gammaproteobacteria bacterium. RNAcentral describes it as "contains 16S-23S intergenic spacer region". It matches the Rfam family "Bacterial small subunit ribosomal RNA", at positions 524 to 776 of the family's 1533-position model. Lineage: Bacteria; Pseudomonadati; Pseudomonadota; Gammaproteobacteria. The record is from RNAcentral.
UACGGAGGGUGCAAGCGUUAAUCGGAAUUACUGGGCGUAAAGCGCGCGUAGGCGGUUUGCUCAGUCGGAUGUGAAAGCCCCGGGCUUAACCUGGGAAUUGCAUUCGAUACUGGCAGACUAGAGUGUGGGAGAGGAAGGUGGAAUUCCAGGUGUAGCGGUGAAAUGCGUAGAUAUCUGGAGGAACAUCAGUGGCGAAGGCGGCCUUCUGGCCCAACACUGACGCUGAGGUGCGAAAGCGUGGGGAGCAAACAGG